Molecule: ribosomal RNA, 229 nt
Filed under: uncultured archaeon
Lineage: Archaea
Description: partial 16S ribosomal RNA
Rfam family: Archaeal small subunit ribosomal RNA
Source: RNAcentral
GCCACUGCUAUUGGGGUUCGGCUAAGCCAUGCGAGUGGAGGGCGUCCCGCAAGGGAUGGCCCCGCAGACGGCUCAGUAACACGUCGUCAACCCACCUUAGGGUGGGGGACAACCUCGGGAAACUGAGGAUAAUCCCCCCAUAGGCGGGGGAGGCUAGAAUGCGCCCCCGCUGAAAGCUCAGGCGCCUUAGGACGGGACGGCGGCCUAUCAGGUAGUUGGUGGUGUGACG